GGGGAUGUAGCUCAUUGGUAGAGCACUUGCCUAGCAUGCAUGAGAUCCUAGGUUUCAAUUUCCAGUACCACCA
This 73-nucleotide transfer RNA is filed under the name Marmota monax (woodchuck). It matches the Rfam family "tRNA". From Rfam's summary of the family: Transfer RNA (tRNA) molecules are approximately 80 nucleotides in length. Their secondary structure includes four short double-helical elements and three loops (D, anti-codon, and T loops). Lineage: Eukaryota; Metazoa; Chordata; Mammalia; Rodentia; Sciuridae. RNAcentral also lists the same sequence under 2 other names. The record is from Rfam by way of RNAcentral.